RNAcentral lists this ribosomal RNA (274 nucleotides) under uncultured bacterium. RNAcentral's name for it is "partial 16S ribosomal RNA". It matches the Rfam family "Bacterial small subunit ribosomal RNA", at positions 82 to 354 of the family's 1533-position model. The record is from RNAcentral.
CGCCCGCCGGCGACCGGCGCACGGGUGAGUAACACGUAUGCAACCUGGCCGCCACAGGGGGAUAACCCGCGGAAACGCGGCCUAAUACCCCGUGACGCCACCGGAGGGCAUCCUCCGGUGGCCAAAGGAGCGAUCCGGUGGCGGAUGGGCAUGCGGCGCAUUAGCUAGACGGCGGGGUGACGGCCCACCGGGGCGACGAUGCGUAGGGGUUCUGAGAGGAAGGCCCCCCACACUGGGACUGAGACACGGCCCAGACUCCUACGGAAGGCAGCAG